GCGGAUGUAGCCAAGUGGAUCAAGGCAGG
This 29-nucleotide transfer RNA is filed under the name Apeiba tibourbou. RNAcentral's name for it is "partial tRNA-His". Lineage: Eukaryota; Viridiplantae; Streptophyta; Magnoliopsida; Malvales; Malvaceae. The record is from RNAcentral. RNAcentral also lists the same sequence under 4 other names.